AUUGAACGCUGGCGGCAGGCCUAACACAUGCAAGUCGAGCGGAUGAAGGGAGCUUGCUCCUGGAUUCAGCGGCGGACGGGUGAGUAAUGCCUAGGAAUCUGCCUGGUAGUGGGGGAUAACGUCCGGAAACGGGCGCUAAUACCGCAUACGUCCUGAGGGAGAAAGUGGGGGAGCUUCGGACCUCACGCUAUGAGAUGAGCCUAGGUCGGAUUAGCUAGUUGGUGGGGUAAAGGCCUACCAAGGCGACGAUCCGUAACUGGUCUGAGAGGAUGAUCAGUCACACUGGAACUGAGACACGGUCCAGACUCCUACGGGAGGCAGCAGUGGGGAAUCUUGGACAAUGGGCGAAAGCCUGAUCCAGCCAUGCCGCGUGUGUGAAGAAGGUCUUCGGAUUGUAAAGCACUUUAAGUUGGGAGGAAGGGCAGUAAGUUAAUACCUUGCUGUUUUGACGUUACCAACAGAAUAAGCACCGGCUAACUUCGUG
RNAcentral lists this ribosomal RNA (484 nucleotides) under uncultured bacterium. RNAcentral's name for it is "partial 16S ribosomal RNA". It matches the Rfam family "Bacterial small subunit ribosomal RNA", at positions 30 to 507 of the family's 1533-position model. The record is from RNAcentral.